RNAcentral lists this transfer RNA (71 nucleotides) under Nematostella vectensis (starlet sea anemone). It matches the Rfam family "tRNA". From Rfam's summary of the family: Transfer RNA (tRNA) molecules are approximately 80 nucleotides in length. Lineage: Eukaryota; Metazoa; Cnidaria; Anthozoa; Actiniaria; Edwardsiidae. The record is from Rfam by way of RNAcentral.
GGUCCCAUGGUUUAAUGGUUAGCACUCUGGAUUUUAAUCCAGCGAUCCGAGUUCAAAUCUCGGUGGGACCU